Molecule: long non-coding RNA, 3752 nt
Filed under: Sparus aurata (gilthead seabream)
Lineage: Eukaryota; Metazoa; Chordata; Actinopteri; Spariformes; Sparidae
Description: lncRNA (ENSSAUG00010022319.1)
Source: RNAcentral
AGCUGACUCUGGCUCUACAGCACAAUACACUCAGAAAUAAUAACAACAAACACACUUAAAACAGACGAAUAACAAAACAGUUUAACAGUUUUUCAUUAAACUACAUAGUUCUGGAUUUGAAAUCUUAUUGGCUUGUGGCUCAGGAGAGAGGAGAAAGAGGAGAGAGUGGGGUGGUUUGUCUAUAUAAUCACUCAUUGGCUGUUGUAGGCUCUAGGGUGGGCAUAGAAGCUCCUGUGCAGCAGGUCUAAUCCUUUGUUAACCUGUUGUUUCUCCUGAUUUACAGGCGAAAACGAGAAGAUUUACAUGGCUGCAAUAGCUGUACCUGUUGUCCUCGUCAUCCUUGUCAUUGCUGGUGUCUACAUCUAUCUGCGGUACAAAAGUCAACGUGAGUGAUCUUUGCUGAUUUUCUUUUCUAACUUUUCUUUUCUGAUCUGUUUUAUGUUUCAUCAACUCGUGGGACGGGAUGAACUCAAGCACCAAACAGAAACCGUCUGACCUGAUAUGAAUAAACACAACUAGGCUGAAACUGUAAAGUAGAGCUGAGUUUGUUCAGUCAGCAGAAAACAUCUGGUCACUUCAUACCCAAUCUGACGUCGUACAUGGUAUGAAGAGAACUUCAGUCAGCGAUUUUCAAACACUUCCUCUUAUUUCUGGUCUGUAUGUAGAGCGCCCGCCCGGUGCCCUCAGUCCAGAAUGUCAAAGUCAACAUAAAGCUUCGUUAAAAACAUCCUGACAUCGUGUUGAAGUCAUUCACAAGCUACAGCAGCUACAACACAAUAUCAUCACUCUGGUGGUUUGACUUUGCUGAAAUACACUUCUUAUUUCAUUUCAGUCAUGUCGUUUGGUUUAUUUAGACAAACUUUAAUCAAUACUUUGAUCAAAAAUCAGUUCUAACCUCAUCAUGCUGAUUCAGCAGCAGGGAACCAUAAAACCUUGGUUUGAUUUAGCAGAAAUACACUCUUCAUAUAAUUUUAACAUUUAUCUUCUCUACCCUCAUCACACCGGUCCAGAUCAACCUCAGGCUCAAAUUCAAGAUCCAGAUCCAUCCAACGAACCACCAGUCGAACAUGAUCCCCACGAUGGAGCUCAAACUGAAGAUGUAGAUGCAGCAGAACCUGCCCAAGACCCAGUUCUGGAGGAGGGUGAGCUGCAUUUAGUUGAUAACAGCGAGCUAGUUUGGAAAUGCCAACUGAGAUCAUUCAAAGAUAAUAACUCAUAAAAACAACAAUAAUAAUAUCAGUUCAUGUCUCUCUUUCUCUUUCUAACCUCUCAGCAGCUGAUGCACCUGAUGAAACUGUUUCACUGACUGGGACUGGAGCUGCUUAUCGCCGUCGCACAAAGUCGAGCGAGGACGCUGCUGCUUCACCAGAGAAAGAAAAUCUGUUGAAGUGAAAUGAAGACGGUGCCUCAGAUUGAGUCAGAAGUGUUUAUGACAACCUGGAUCAGAACUGAGUCAGGGAGGCAACAACCUGAAGAACUACUGCACAUAGACUAAAAUGAUCCUUGAAGACUUGAUCAGACAAACUCAGGUCCAUUAAACUGUGGUCCAUUAGCUGUUAGUCAAACUCUGGUGCUGAAUAAACAACCCGACAAAGCAAACGGACCAACAACAGUAUGUUGGGAUAGUUCUGAGUGUUUCUUCUCUGGUGUCACAAACAGCUGCCAGCUGGACUGUGGUUCUGGAGAAGAUGAUCUUUUCUUAAAUAUGGCAACUUUUAUCAACCACAUGAAGAAUUUCCCGUCUCAGAGGACUGAACAAAGGUCCGUUUAUUUCCACACACAGACUCGACCUUAUCGCCACAAUGAAGGCUCACAUCUAUUAUACCAUGGUCUGGGGGAAUACUCAAUUCUGAUUGGCUGCAGGGUGUCCAUUAACCCCUGAUAUAUGGACACCUACUAAGUAGUUCCAGUCAAAUUGACUGUUCACCGCUGUAAAUCAAUGCACUAGCUGGCGUAUCCAAUCUGAAUAUGUUAUUUCCAGCACUGAGUGCAGUCUGUCAGUCCUUCAGUGUCUUAUCCUCUGAACACCACAGGAUGGCGACUGUAACACACAAUCUGCAGAAAGUUCACUUCCCCUCUAAACUUACUGAUACGCGAAUAAUCUCACAUCCCGUUCACUGUUCAGCUCUCUGCUUCAGGCUGCGGCCACAGUAACGUUACACACGGCCGGUCAUUUGUUUGUGAAAAUCUUGCUGUUGAUUUGGGGACAAUGACAUGACUGGUUAGCUAGCUAAUCAUGUUAGCUAGCAUACUGUCAAAUUAUAUUUACUGUUUGUCAACCGUACGCAAUGUUAUUGACUUUGAAUCUUGCUAGCAUAGCGUUAGCUUUCUGGCUCAUCGCUGAGCGGACGAGAAUAUCUCCCGUUGCCGAGUCGUAUCUAUGAUCCGUCCUAUUUACUGGAGGAGUGAACAAGGUUUCUGUUGCAUAAGAAUCUUACGGGAGAUUAAUGACUGUUCCAGGUAUUAGUCAAACCCUCAGGCGUUACCAGGGAAACUUAGUUAUGGCUUGUGAAAAACUUUAUAUUUUGAUUGUAAAACACAUGAAAAUGUAAAUUAAUGGUCCGAAUUUCUUUUCUUUGUCAAGUGACCAUGGUAUAAGCGGGAUAAUGCCCUUCAAGGUGUCCAUAAUACAGGAGUUAAUGGACUUCGCGGAGGCAACCGUUCUUAGGCCUCCGCAUCGUCCAUUUACUCCUGUUUAUGGACACCUCGAAGGGCAUUAUCCCUUACUUAGUUCACACUGAACCAAGCAGCUCCAUCUGAAAGGCACUAAACUGGGUCCAGUUUAUAUAAACAGCCUGUCGGCCAAACGGAACCAAAAGUGGUGUGACGGUACACAUCAUGACGUUGACAUCCGUGUGUUUCUCAGUGUCACCUGUUAAUCUGAACAUGUACCUGCUGACUGUUUAUAAUCAUAUGGAUGCUGUUCUGAUGUGUUGUUAUUGAGGUCCAGACCCACCAAACAUCCUGGAAGGUGUCAAAGUUACGUUUUUUGCACUAAGUUACAUAAUUACAUCGUCACCAUCAGUGAACAGAACGCUGUCUACCUCUAUCACUCACAGGGAGGGAGGAUGUUUUCUGGGGAAAAGUUUUGGGCCGACCGUCGCUGUGAUUCUUUUCAAUACAAGUUAAAAGUUGGUAGGACAGACAGGAUGACAGACAGGAUGACAGACAGGAUGACAGACAGGAUGACAGACAGGACGACAGACAGGAUGACAGACAGGAUGACAAGUUUUUUCCUCAUUUAAGCUCCCAAAGACACUUCCAGUUACCUCAGUACUGUGUUUUGGUCCUGUUACGUUGCUUUGUGGGUUGAGGUUUGGAACAUUUCUUCUAUGUUUGAUGAGUGAAGGAAUUAUUUAUCUGUCAGACUGAACACCAUCAGACUGACACACUGCGGUCCACACUGACGCCAAACUGUCCUCCCUUAUUAUUAUCAGGACAUGAUUCCCACCUGGAAAGUGCUGUGUGAACGGGUCUGUGGUCUGUCGAUUUAUUAUGUUGUCUAUUUAUUUUUUUUUAGCUUUGAGUGUCCAGUGAGUGUUUCUGUAUCAUCUGUGUGUCUGAAUGUUGGGGUUUGUGUUGAAGUGUUGGAAUUUUUUAAAAAAUUAAACAAUGGUACUUGAAAAAGUAUUUGAUUUACUGUGUUGUCUUGUAUUUCACUAUAAAACUAAGUACAGAAAUGGUCAGAAGAAGUUGUGCGUGAACCAGAAUUGAGCGUAAAAACAGAAUAAUUAAGAAUAAACCAAAUGCUU